Molecule: non-coding RNA, 583 nt
Organism: Chrysemys picta bellii (western painted turtle)
Lineage: Eukaryota; Metazoa; Chordata; Testudines; Emydidae
Source: RefSeq, a predicted model, not a curated record
GCUGCUGGAACGAGACCCACAAGGAGAACGGGGCACCCGUCCUGGUGUACGAAAACCUGCCCCCUACAGCCUGGGCGGGGCCAGUGGCCCAGCCCAGGAUCCCCCCUGACCCCAGCCCCACAUACCAGAUGCUGCAGCCCCGACAGCCGGACGUGUAUGAGGAGCUGAAAAAGUGACGCCCCCUCCUGCCCCCCAGCGCAAGGCACAGGGUGCCGGGGGGUUCACAGGGCCCCCGGCUCUAACGUCUCCAGACCAGCCCCCAAAGGGGCUCGGAAGGUCCCUGCCCAGGACCGGCAGCGCUGGGCGCGGUGACCGUGGUGAGCCGUGUGCCGGGGGCACAGCCGGAGCUGUGUCUGGCCUGGGUCCCAGGGGCUGGUUCCAGCCGGGCAGCGGGAGGCACCAGGCCUGUCCCUGGCAGACAGGAGGCACCGGGCCGUUCUCUCUGUGCCCGGCUCCGGGGGCGCUGGGUGGUGCCGAGCUCGCCAGGCAGCUGGUUCCACCCGGAGCCAGGCCCCAGCAGUGUCUGCACCAGCCCUGGGGAAGCAGCGGGCAGGGAAAAGCGCGCGUGGAGGAUGGUGUUUCU